This 72-nucleotide non-coding RNA is filed under the name uncultured Ruminococcus sp. Its description in RNAcentral is "pemK RNA". It matches the Rfam family "pemK RNA". The record is from RNAcentral. Lineage: Bacteria; Bacillati; Bacillota; Clostridia; Eubacteriales; Oscillospiraceae.
AUAAUGAUACUUCCGUCUUUUCUCUGAAAGGGCGGCUCGGAGCGAAUCCUCGGAGGGGUGAGAGUCCCAUGA